This is a long non-coding RNA of Zalophus californianus (California sea lion), 356 nucleotides long. RefSeq lists it as uncharacterized. The transcript has 3 exons. The record is from RefSeq and is a predicted model, not a curated record. NCBI's taxonomy places the organism in Eukaryota, Metazoa, Chordata, Mammalia, Carnivora, Otariidae.
ACUAAUCUUCUGUUCACAUGCUCUGGCCAAAUCAACGUUGGUGCCGAAUAUGAAGUUGCUGGUGAAAAGGAAAACUGGAACUGAGAGAAGAAGAAAUUCCCCCAGAGUAGCAGAAAAGAGUUAAUCAAAAUGAGGCCAAGAUCGAAGAAAUCAUUCAAUGAUUGGAAAGUUCCAAUUUAAUUUAUGAACAGGUGUGGUGCUACGGAUAGCAAGCAAUUAGAUGACAAGGGAUGGGUCUUGGCACUGUGGGACCCCAGCAACUCCAGCAAUGAAGAAGGACAUGUGAGCCUGGCCCAGCAUUAAAAACAAAUAGAAGACAUGAAAAGAUAUUUCUCCAAAGAAGACAUAUGGAUGGC